UUUAUUCUGUUUCUGACAGUGGAGAUACGCUGAAAUUCAACAUACAUUGCUUCAUCAAGGUAUCACUUUACAUACCCUGACAGAUGUAGAUAUCAACAUUAAAGGUAGUUUCAGUAAAGGAAGAGGAAUUUAUGGUGUGGAUGCAGACACUGUUUACAGUGAAAAAGACAUCACACAAAAAGAGUUAAUUGGUAGACCAGAGUUGCGAAGUCAAGUUGCCAUUCCAAAAGACAUGUGUAUAGCUUUGGCCCAGGAAGUUCAUGGGAGUGUUUUCAGUAGACGUAAGGAACGUAGCAAAACUUGGAAGAGCUUAUUUGCAAGACGUUUGGUGAAAACAGCUAAGAUUGCCCAGUGUCAAGAUUGUAGAUGUGAAGCCGGGCAAGAUUAUGUAGCUAAGACUGUCUGUCAGCCUUGUAACCCUAUCUCACCAAAGGUUCCUUACACACUGUACUACAAUGAUGAUGAAGACACCUAUUUUUAAACAACUUGUGCACAAAAUAUUAACAAUUUAAAAAAACAAAUAAAUUCAGAAAUAAUUUUUCACCUAAAAAUAUUUUAUAAGUUUUUUGUUUGUCUUUGCUGUUCCUUUAUUUAGAUUGUAUGAAGAGAUGUAGAUGAUAAUACCGUUUCAUUUUCCUAGAAAAAAACAGUGUGUUAAUGUAAUUUUUGUUUGUGUCCCUGUUUAAACUUUAUUGUAUUAGAGUUGUCAAUAAACAAGCCUGUUGUGUAUUUACGCAA
Long non-coding RNA from Limulus polyphemus (Atlantic horseshoe crab), 738 nucleotides. RefSeq lists it as uncharacterized. The transcript has 3 exons. The record is from RefSeq and is a predicted model, not a curated record. Lineage: Eukaryota; Metazoa; Arthropoda; Merostomata; Xiphosura; Limulidae.